RNAcentral lists this ribosomal RNA (407 nucleotides) under uncultured bacterium. Its description in RNAcentral is "partial 16S ribosomal RNA". It matches the Rfam family "Bacterial small subunit ribosomal RNA", at positions 30 to 526 of the family's 1533-position model. The record is from RNAcentral.
AUUGAACGCUGGCGGCAGGCCUAACACAUGCAAGUCGAGCGGAGCGGCGGAAGGGUGAGUAAUGCAUAGGAAUCUGCCUGCUAGUGGGGGAUAAAGUCCGAAAAGGGGCGCUAAUACCGCAUACUAUCAGAUGAGCCUAGGUCGAGUUAGCUUGUUGGUGGGGUAAAGGCCUACCAAGGCGACGAUCCGUACCUGGUCUGAGAGGAUGAUCAGUCAAACUGGAACUGAGACACGGUCCAGACUCCUACGGGAGGCAGCAGUGGGGAAUAUUGGACAAUGGGCGAAAGCCUGAUCCAGCCAUGCCGCGUUUGUGAAGAAGGUCUUCGGAUUGUAAAGCACUUUAAGUUGGGAGGCGUUACCAACAGAAUAAGCACCGGCUAACUGCGUGCCAGCAGCCGCGGUAAUAC